This 535-nucleotide ribosomal RNA is filed under the name uncultured bacterium. Its description in RNAcentral is "bacterial LSU rRNA". It matches the Rfam family "Bacterial large subunit ribosomal RNA", at positions 1051 to 1688 of the family's 2925-position model. The record is from RNAcentral.
AAUCAUUGCUAAGUGUGAAAGGAUGUGGGAAUCCCAUAACAACCAGGAUGUUGGCUUAGAAGCAGCCAUCAUUUAAAGAAAGCGUAACAGCUCACUGGUCUAAACAAGGGUUCCUGCGCCGAAAAUGUAUCGGGGCUAAAGCAAUGUACCGAAGACGCGGGUGUGCAGCAAUGCACGCGGUAGCGGAGCGUUCCGUAAGCCAGUGAAGGGAGACCCGUGAGGGCUCCUGGAGGUAUCGGAAGUGCGAAUGCAGACAUGAGUAACGAAAGGGGUGUGAGAAACACCCCCUCCGAAAGUCCAAGGGUUCCUGCGUAAAGUUAAUCUGCGCAGGGGUUAGCCGGCCCCUAAGGCGAGGGCGAAAGCCGUAGUCGAUGGGAACCACGUUAAUAUUCGUGGGCCAGUGGGUGUGUGACGGAUGCAGCAAGUUGUUGAGGCUUAUUGGAUUGCCGAGGCAGCGAAUGUGUCCCAGGAAAUAGCCCCCACAUAGACCGUACCCGAAACCGACACAGGUGGACUGGUAGAGAAUACCAAGGAG